UAUAAAUGACGAUGAGAUAGAAAACAAUACAUAUAUCGAUUACUGUGAUCCGAACGAAGAUCUACACAUCGACAAAGAUACGAAUAUUGAUGAGUAGAUCUUUAUUCUUCGUUCAAUUUUGUAUUGCAAUAAUGGUAUGCGAUAUAAUUGUAUUCAUUAGAAUAUUAUUUGAUUAUUAUUAUUAUUAUUAUAUAAUAUUAUAUUUAUUUACAUUUCAAUUCUUGCAGAUAUGGCACCAGGAGAUAGACGAUGACGGUUGCGUUCACA
RNAcentral lists this long non-coding RNA (267 nucleotides) under Elaeis guineensis (African oil palm). RNAcentral describes it as "long non-coding RNA (EGUI_LNC076464)". The record is from RNAcentral. Lineage: Eukaryota; Viridiplantae; Streptophyta; Magnoliopsida; Arecales; Arecaceae.